RNAcentral lists this ribosomal RNA (401 nucleotides) under uncultured bacterium. RNAcentral describes it as "partial 16S ribosomal RNA". It matches the Rfam family "Bacterial small subunit ribosomal RNA", at positions 30 to 526 of the family's 1533-position model. The record is from RNAcentral.
AUUGAACGCUAGCGGCAUGCUUAACACAUGCAAGUCGAACGAGUGGCGGACGGGUGAGUAAUGUAUGGGAACUGCCCAAUAGAGGGGGAUAAUACUGGAAACAGUGGCUAAUACCGCAUACUAUUGGAUGGCCCAUAUCGGAUUAGCUAGUUGGUGGGGUAAAGGCUCACCAAGGCAACGAUCCCUAGCUGGUCUGAGAGGAUGACCAGCCACACUGGGACUGAGACACGGCCCAGACUCCUACGGGAGGCAGCAGUGGGGAAUAUUGGACAAUGGGGGAAACCCUGAUGCAGCCAUGCCGCGUGUAUGAUGAAGGCCUUCGGGUUGUAAAGUACUUUCGGCAGGAGGCGGUUCUGCAGAAGAAGCACCGGCUAACUCCGUGCCAGCAGCCGCGGUAAUUC